This 1898-nucleotide long non-coding RNA is filed under the name Bemisia tabaci. RNAcentral's name for it is "lncRNA ENSSSA2NGG014109". Lineage: Eukaryota; Metazoa; Arthropoda; Insecta; Hemiptera; Aleyrodidae. The record is from RNAcentral.
UAAUGUUCAUAAAAAAUAAUAUAUUUGUACAAAUCGAAAUGAGUGUAAAAGAUUUUUCAAAAAGUAUAUUACAUUCCCUGUACAAAUGCACUCAAUAUGAGUGAUAACAAUUUCAUUGUCAAUGAAACAAAUCAGUGAUAAACAUUAUAAAAAACAAGAAUCAAUUUAUACACUGUGGAAUUGAAGUUACAUGUUGAGACCGAUCAUGGAAUUAUUUGAUUGGCAGUGUAAAUGGCAUACUAUGUUAAUAGGAGUAAACAUGUAUUUGAUUAAGUUAGCAUUACAUCUUAAAAACACAUUGGUGAGCGAAUACAAUGCUUUUGUAUAUCUGUUACUUCGACACCUAUACAAAAAAGCUUUCCUAAACACGGUUAAAAGUUUGAUUUUUUUCUUUGCAAAUUAUUAAUCAAUAGAUUUAUGAUGCACAAAAGUUAAAUUAUCCUAUGAUUCAUUAUAAAUUCGAAAGGCAAAAAUGAUAAGUUUGUAAAACUUUACGCAAAAUAAAACAGGGAGGCUGUAAACGCAAAAUAUUAUUAUUUGACAAUAUUGGUCAGAACAAUUACUAGACAGGUACUGCUACGCAUUAAAAUUGACCAUUUUCUAAAAUUUACAUGGCACGAAAAACUCUGAGAAUGAUUUAAUUCUUAGGCAAGGAAGUUUUACUAUCAGGGUCCACAAUCUCACGCACGUAGGAAAUAAAAAAAAUAAUUAAAGUAUGUCUAUACUUUUUCUUCCUCUUAAAAAGCAAAGCAAAAAUAAUUUUUUUUCUGAAAUUCACUCUAAAAAUUUGACAGAUUUGAAAAUUUGACAACUGUGAUCAACCUGGUUCGUUCAUCAAAACUCCCGAAAUUAACGAAAGGCUGGAUAACAAUCCAAAUACCCACAUAACAAGGCAUUUCAAUACGUGCAGGGGACUCUUGAUACAUUUAAAAGCUGCUACAGGUACUUACAAUCAUGACAAUCAGGUAGGCGGACCGGACAGACAAUUUUUGAUUUGAUACUAAAUUAAUGCAAAAAGGCGGAAAGUUGGAGACAGAGACAGAGAGACUGUCCCAGAAAUUCCGGAAAAAGCAUGUCAAAUUCAACAAUAAAUAUGUACAAAUACAAGACAAGUUUCUGAAACAAGAACAAAAUCAAUACUUGCUCAUUUUGCUUUCUAUGAAUUGAUUUAUCAAACAACGGCUCAAAUCAAAACGUUCGGUGCGUAUGUCCUCUAAAAAUUUUAUCUGAGAAAAAUUGACAAGUAUUUUAGGAAGCUAAAGAAAUUGUCUCUGUUUCAGAAUAAAUUCUCCAAAAAUAUUGACUAGUCAAUUUUCAACGAACAUCUUAAGUAAUACUCCAUUAGAAAAUUAUGCUAUUAAAAAAAUUAGGCUUUGGCCGCGCGAUGGAAUAUCAAAGGGUGAGCCGGCUCACAUUUUUCUUUGAUUACCACACAAUAAAAUAUGAUUGUUUCAUACAAAAAGUGAAGAUGUAGAGAUGAGGACUUUUGACUUAUGCCAAAGUGAGGUAAAAUCAAGAGUUUUUAAACUGAAAUAAGUAGAAGCGUUUCGCGAAUAAUUAUUUAGAGAGAUUGAGAAACUAAAAAAGUAAACAAUUAUUGUUCCCUACAUACCUUAGUAAUACGUAUAAAGCUUUAUUUUUUGGCACGGUUUAUAUCACCUCAUCAUAUUUCUGGGAUUUCGCAAUCUGGAGAAUGACAUUUUUUUAGAUACACAAUGAGUAUUAUUAAAAACAAAAAUUAUAUAUAUUUUUUUGUUCAUUAGGUAAGUUUCCUAUCAAGUAUGUGAAAUCAUUUUCCCAUCCGGCUAUCUUUUACACCCGUUUUGUUAGGCGGGUUUUGGACUGAAAAAAUUUUCAGGAAAAGUUUUUUAAUUUCAUAUACAUGCAUUUCCCAUAAG